AUGGCCAGAGUAUUAGUUGGAAAGCUAACUCAAGACCCCAUCAAUGUAAUACUGGACAAAUUGUGAGAUCCCAAAUCUCUAUUAGUAACCUUCCCCCCCUCCAAAAAUGUCAAAAGAACAGAAACACUAGAGAAAAAAUGACUGAGAGUUGCAUGGAGGCGAUUUUCAAGAUGCUUAUGGACUCCAGAUCUCGGGAUCACAAGAGAAGUUAUGAAGCUCAUUUCCUGACCUUCGAAUGACAUAAGGGCAGAGAGAAGACUUUUUUAUAUAUAACCUUUCCAUAAUAAAUAUAUUUUAUGUACAGAGGAUCUAUACCGAGGAAUUCCACUAUAUCAUCCAACAAUUAAAUUGUUUCAAUAUUUACCCUGCCUUCGGCUGCCAAGUCUGAACUCGGAGUAAUGCAAGAGUAAUUUAAAAAGAUUUUUUUAGAAAAAGAAAAAGAAACAAGAAGGAAAAUAGCUCCCAAAGGCCCUUGGGCAGAAGUGCCCGAUGUCAGGAAACAUUUGUUUUUACUUCCUUCGCCGCCAAAUGAAUUUUACUCAUGGCAGCGGUUUCGAGCUGGACUGAAUCCAUACAGAAGCUAACCAGAAGCAUUUCGUUUCUCAAAUAAAUGCCUCUGCUGGGAAUACAC
Long non-coding RNA from Pantherophis guttatus, 631 nucleotides. RefSeq lists it as uncharacterized. Lineage: Eukaryota; Metazoa; Chordata; Lepidosauria; Squamata; Colubridae. The record is from RefSeq and is a predicted model, not a curated record.